This 490-nucleotide ribosomal RNA is filed under the name uncultured bacterium. Its description in RNAcentral is "partial 16S ribosomal RNA". It matches the Rfam family "Bacterial small subunit ribosomal RNA", at positions 30 to 507 of the family's 1533-position model. The record is from RNAcentral.
AUUGAACGCUGGCGGCAUGCCUUACACAUGCAAGUCGAACGGCAGCAUGAUCUAGCUUGCUAGAUUGAUGGCGAGUGGCGAACGGGUGAGUAAUACAUCGGAACGUGCCCUGUAGUGGGGGAUAACUAGUCGAAAGAUUAGCUAAUACCGCAUACGACCUGAGGGUGAAAGUGGGGGACCGCAAGGCCUCAUGCUAUAGGAGCGGCCGAUGUCUGAUUAGCUAGUUGGUGAGGUAAAGGCUCACCAAGGCGACGAUCAGUAGCUGGUCUGAGAGGACGAUCAGCCACACUGGGGCUGUGACACGGCCCAGACUCCUACGGGAGGCAGCAGUGGGGAAUUUUGGACAAUGGGCGAAAGCCUGAUCCAGCAAUGCCGCGUGUGUGAAGAAGGCCUUCGGGUUGUAAAGCACUUUUGUCCGGAAAGAAAUGGCUCUGGUUAAUACCUGGGGUCGAUGACGGUACCGGAAGAAUAAGGACCGGCUAACUACGUG